CUGGUGGUUUCUGUGAGUGCGAAAGAGAGAGAUUUGGUUUGUAGUUAAGAGAGAAGGUGAGAUUUGAACUGACGAAACUAAUGAACGGAGUGGGCCCCACGGAGCUCUCUGUUACUUGAACUCCCCAUAAUACCCCUUUCUUCAGUACAUGUAACGAUGAAUGAUGCAGGUUGUAUUGUGAUUGGGAGGGAGAGCGACGAAUGAUGCAGGUUGUAUUGUGAUUGGGAGAGAGAGAGAGAGAGAGAGAGAGAGAGAGAGAGAGAGAGAGAGAGAGUUGAUGGGCCAUCAUGGGCAUGAUCAGAACCGUUCAUCAUGGGGUUGCACCAUGCUAACCCAGGCUGCUCUAUGCGUGGGUAUGUACAUGGCAUUUUACAUUGGUACCCCUAUGAAAUCGAACAAGAGAAGUGCAGGAGACGGCAGAGCUCUUGAUUUACACUUUCUCACUGUCUCUGGAGGCCAAAGACCCCCAAAACAACAGGCCCAUCUCCUCAAACAGAUGGAGAAGGUAGCAAAGACCUACAAAGUGAAGUUUGUAAUAAACAUCAGUGAACUUGGGGAGGACGAUCCACUUCUCAGAAAUGGCACACUGCAUUUCCCAUCACUGAAGAUUCCCUGGUAUACUACUAUUAGUAGAGCAUCGCAGGAACAAGGUAGGGGAUACUUCCUGAGUCAGGUUACAGUGCCACCCCAGCGAACCUUAGACAUCAUUGGUUUGGAGACGGGUUCAUUACAAGAUCUCUUCCGCAAUGAACGAUUAAGCGACAUCGAAAACGAUCAAUUGCAUUGGCUGAUGAGGACAUUGGCAGCGAGUGAUAGCGAAUGGCGCAUAGUUGUUGGAUUUCAUCCACUGAUAGUUUGUGACGAGCAUGCGACGGUAACAACAAGGGUUUAUGAGUCUCUACACCAAAUUUUCUUGAACUAUCAAGUGAAGGCAUAUCUGAGCAAGCAUGGUUGCACUGGCUAUUAUAACAGCGAUAGAGGUAUUGUUUACAUUGAAAACCCAGGCCAUGUCAAUGAAAACCACAGACCUCCCUCAGUAAAUGAAACUUCCAAUUCCCUUAAAGAAAUGCAUGAUGGCUUCCUUCUGCAUAGAGUCAGCUCCCUAGAGUUUGUGAGUAUCAGUUCUUGACUAACUCUUUCGGACGUUUCGGCAUUCAGCAGCAAUGGAAUGUGCUCAUGCCAAAGCCAGGAAAUGGGAACCUGUCCAAAGCAGUUUCCGUUUCCCUGUGCCACCCAAAAAUCAACUCGGAACAAAAGAUUUAGCAAGCGGUGACUCAGACUGACUUGUUUGGUCCUGAGUUAAGUCGCAUCUCAGAUGAGUUGGGCUGAGUCACCACUUAUUUCCAAUUCUGGCUUGUGGUGCCGUUUGACUCGGACCAGGAUCAGUUCUUUCAAAAACCUGAAAAUUUUACUGGACUCGAUGUCCAGCUGGGUCAGGUGUACUGGAAGACUCGACCCAACUCCACUGAAUAUUUAUAAUUUUAAGAAAAGAUCUCAUGUUCUACCAGUUGGACCAUAAACCCUGUUUAAAAAUAUUAGUAACAGUAUAUGUAUUUAACACAGAAUUACAGAACUCAUAUAAAAUACAACCAUCAUCAAAUGACAGGAUGACAAAUUGGUUAAGUUGUCUCCCAAUUGUUGAGUUCGGGUUCGAUUCUCUCGCUCCCCUUUUCUCAUUUUAGUUAGAGCUGUACAUGAGCUGAACCAAGUCGAUCUUGGCCCAGCUUGGCUCGGCUCGGCCAACAGGCUACUCCAGCUCGAACUUGGCUCGGUCCUCGAGCCUGAUUGGCCAGCUCGGCUCGGUCAGCAGCUUGGCCCAACUCGAGCUGAGUUCGAGCCUACGAGCUGAGUUCGAGUUUAAGUUUUAGGGUAUUUCAAUAUAUAUAAUAUAUAUUAUCAUAUAUAUAAUAUAAUAUAUAAUUUAUUUAAAUAUAUAAAUAUAUACAAAAUAUUUACAUUAAGUGAACCCCAUCAGAGUCGAAUCAAUUCAAACUGAGUCAAGUUCGUUUACAGUUCUAAUUUUAGUAAUGUUUAAACUGUGACUCAGUCGAUGACGGGUUCGAUUGUGACUUAGUUGGAGUCACCGUGAAUGUGAGUAGUGUCAAUUCAACUGAGUGGUUGAGUCGAGUUAACGAAUAAGAUCUUGUGGACUCAAGUUGACUCAGCCCAAAUUUGGAGUCGACAAAAGAAGAAGAAGAAGA
Molecule: RNA transcript, 2201 nt
Organism: Magnolia sinica
Lineage: Eukaryota; Viridiplantae; Streptophyta; Magnoliopsida; Magnoliales; Magnoliaceae
Exons: 9
Source: RefSeq, a predicted model, not a curated record